Molecule: ribosomal RNA, 496 nt
Filed under: uncultured bacterium
Lineage: Bacteria
Description: partial 16S ribosomal RNA
Rfam family: Bacterial small subunit ribosomal RNA
Source: RNAcentral
GAUGAACGCUGGCGGCGUGCCUAAUACAUGCAAGUCGAGCGAACAGACGAGGAGCUUGCUCCUCUGACGUUAGCGGCGGACGGGUGAGUAACACGUGGAUAACCUACCUAUAAGACUGGGAUAACUUCGGGAAACCGGAGCUAAUACCGGAUAAUAUAUUGAACCGCAUGGUUCAAUAGUGAAAGACGGUUUUGCUGUCACUUAUAGAUGGAUCCGAGCCGCAUUAGCUAGUUGGUAAGGUAACGGCUUACCAAGGCAACGAUGCGUAGCCGACCUGAGAGGGUGAUCGGCCACACUGGAACUGAGACACGGUCCAGACUCCUACGGGAGGCAGCAGUAGGGAAUCUUCCGCAAUGGGCGAAAGCCUGACGGAGCAACGCCGCGUGAGUGAUGAAGGUCUGCGGAUCGUAAAACUCUGUUAUUAGGGAAGAACAAAUGUGUAAGUAACUAUGCACGUCUUGACGGGACCUAAUCAGAAAGCCACGGCUAACUACGU